AAAUUUAGAAACUUAGAAGUAUAUCUUAUAUAUGGGCACUUGGGAUAUAUGGAGUUAGUAGUGCAACCGACUAAUUU
RNAcentral lists this non-coding RNA (77 nucleotides) under Clostridium baratii. Its description in RNAcentral is "Cyclic di-GMP-II riboswitch". It matches the Rfam family "Cyclic di-GMP-II riboswitch aptamer". The record is from RNAcentral. Lineage: Bacteria; Bacillati; Bacillota; Clostridia; Eubacteriales; Clostridiaceae.